UACGUAGGGUGCGAGCGUUGUCCGGAAUUAUUGGGCGUAAAGAGCUUGUAGGCGGUUUGUCGCGUCUGCUGUGAAAAUCCGGGGCUCAACCCCGGACUUGCAGUGGGUACGGGCAGACUAGAGUGUGGUAGGGGAGACUGGAAUUCCUGGUGUAGCGGUGGAAUGCGCAGAUAUCAGGAGGAACACCGGUGGCGAAGGCGGCAUCCUAGACCGAUAUUGACGCUGAGGCGCGAAAGCCAGGGGAGCAAACGGG
RNAcentral lists this ribosomal RNA (253 nucleotides) under uncultured bacterium. RNAcentral's name for it is "partial 16S ribosomal RNA". It matches the Rfam family "Bacterial small subunit ribosomal RNA", at positions 524 to 776 of the family's 1533-position model. The record is from RNAcentral.